GAUCCUGGCUCAGAUUGAACGCUGGCGGCGUGCUUAACACAUGCAAGUCGUACGCGAAAGGGACUUCGGUCCCGAGUAAAGUGGCGUACGGGUGAGUAACACGUGGAUAAUCUGCCUCUAUGAUGGGGAUAACAGUUGGAAACGACUGCUAAUAUCGAAUACGCUCAUAAUGAACUUUGUGAGGAAAGGUGGCCUCUGCUUGCAAGCUAUCGCAUAGAGAUGAGUCCGCGU
RNAcentral lists this ribosomal RNA (231 nucleotides) under uncultured bacterium. Its description in RNAcentral is "partial 16S ribosomal RNA". It matches the Rfam family "Bacterial small subunit ribosomal RNA", at positions 15 to 236 of the family's 1533-position model. The record is from RNAcentral.